CCCUUUCAUCUCCCUAUAAUACAAUCUCUGCUAAAGAAACAGCAGAGACCUCGACUCAUUACAGAUGGACCUGGCAGUUAAGAUUAAAUAUCUUUAUAUAGUUAUCAGCCGCUUCGUUUAGGCAUGACAUAUAGUUAAUUAAGAGCGAGAUAUUUACCGAGAAGACAAAUGUUUUUGUGCUUCUUCAGUAGUUAGCCGUUAGUUGCUCAAACUCAAAGUCGUCGUAACAGAUACUUUGCUAAAGUGGACAGCCAUCUGAAGACAGCAAGAACUGCUCAGAAUAAAUUGGAUUUUGAUCCUUAUCCAUUAAGUUUGAUCCUCAGGCAUAAAGUUGCCAUCAUAAAGGUUCAGCAAAUACAUAAUGCCACGGAGUGAACUUGCUGAAGAUAUCAAAGAAAAGAUCAUUUUUCACCAUAAGUCUGGUAAGGGCUACAGAUCUAUUUCAAAGAUGAUGGGAAUUUCCCGGUCCACAGUCAGAUCCAUAAUCCGCAAAUGGAAAACUCUUGGAACAGUGAUGAAUCUUCCCAGGAGUGGUCGACCAACUAAAAUCUCUGCAAGAGCAGAACGUAAAAUCAUCAAGGAAAUCACAAAGAAACCCGAUAUAACGGUCAAAGAACUGCAGGCUUCUCUUGCCUUAGCUAAAGUCAAAGUUCAUGUAUCUACAAUUACACGGACACUAGGAAGGUUAGGCUAUGUGAGAGAGUUUGAAACUGAAAACCAGUGCAGAAAAGAAGAAAAUGAAUCUCAAGCUUUUGAGGAGAUUGUUUUACAGAAAGAAAAGUAAAAAUUUGAGUUUUCUGUGUAAACCGAACUGGCCUACAGCAUCCCAACAGUCAAACAGUGGAUCCUCCAACUUUAUUGUGGCAUUACUUUGUAUGAAUCACGGGGGGUUCUGACCACCCUAAAGAAGGAGGGGUCAAAGAAAGUAGUCUAACCGUAAUAUGAAGCUUUACCUGUAGAUAUGAAGAUACAUUUUUAGCUCUGACUGUUUUUAAAUUGUAAAUAUGACCACCCCUGAAAUGCUCAUACCAUUAACAUUACCUGAGCACAGCAGUGGUAUUAAAUGCGCUAUGAAACCGCACUCAUUCAGGGAUAUGCAUUUAUUGCGUGGACGAAGAUCAUAAUGUGUUUAAAAUGCAUAUACACAAUUCAUUUGAAUGAUAACAUUUGCCCUCUUUAAUGCUGUGAAGCUGAAUACACGAAGCAUACUGUUUGCUAAAAAAUAUCCUCAACUCAGAAAUAGGAGUUUAUCUGUCAAUCAAUUGUGCUUGAAAGUUGUGUUCAUUUUAUAUAUGCGUGUGUACAUACACAUAUGAAGGCCACUGUAGACUUUGCACCCUCUUUGUAGGUCUUCUUAUAUAAUAUAUAAUUUUACAGCAGUCUCAUUGAAUGAAACUCAAAUGUAAAAUAAAUAUUCCUGUAAAAAAGAAAAAAUGUAUAA
Megalobrama amblycephala (Wuchang bream) is the source of this 1441-nucleotide long non-coding RNA. RefSeq lists it as uncharacterized. The record is from RefSeq and is a predicted model, not a curated record. The transcript is spliced from 2 exons. Lineage: Eukaryota; Metazoa; Chordata; Actinopteri; Cypriniformes; Xenocyprididae.